AUUCUCCAGUGUAAUCACAGGGAGACUGUGCUUCCCCCAAAGCUGAGAUUUCAGGGGCCUUGUAGCAAUGGACAAAUUACAGCUCUGAAGAUGGCUGUGGUAGAUAUCUAUCAUUCCAGGUUAAAGGAGAGACAAAGACGAAAAAAAAUUAUAAGAGACCAUGGAUUAAUCAACCUUAGAAAGUUUCAAUUAAUGGAACGGCGGUAUCCCAAGGAGGUCCAGGACCUGUAUGAAACAAUGAGGCGAUUUGCAAGAAUUGUGGGGCCAGUGGAACAUGACAAAUUCAUUGAAAGCCAUGCCUUGGAAUUUGAACUCCGAAGGGAAAUCAAGAGGCUCCAAGAAUACAGGACAGCAGGCAUUACCAAUUUUUGUAGUGCCAGAACCUACGAUCACCUCAAGAAGACACGGGAGGAAGAGCGCCUUAAACGCACUAUGCUCUCAGAAGUUCUCCAGUAUAUCCAGGACAGUAGUGCUUGCCAGCAGUGGCUCCGCCGGCAAGCUGACAUUGAUUCCGGCCUGAGUCCUUCCAUUCCAAUGGCUUCGAAUUCAGGUAGACGGAGUGCACCACCCUUGAACCUCACUGGCCUCCCUGGCACAGAGAAGCUGAAUGAAAAAGAAAAGGAGCUCUGUCAGAUGGUGAGGUUGGUCCCUGGAGCCUAUUUAGAAUACAAAUCUGCUCUAUUGAACGAAUGUAACAAGCAAGGAGGCUUAAGACUGGCGCAGGCAAGAGCACUCAUCAAGAUAGAUGUGAACAAAACCCGGAAAAUCUAUGAUUUCCUCAUCA
This 784-nucleotide small RNA is filed under the name Pan troglodytes (chimpanzee). RNAcentral describes it as "processed transcript". The record is from RNAcentral. Lineage: Eukaryota; Metazoa; Chordata; Mammalia; Primates; Hominidae.